AAAUAAGGUCACUAGGGUUCCGGUCUGCAAUACGCAGAUGGCUGGUCCGAGAGUGACCGACCGCCCUCUGGCGGUUACACGGCGGGAUAAAAGCCCGGGAGGC
Non-coding RNA from Serratia sp. M24T3, 103 nucleotides. NCBI's taxonomy places the organism in Bacteria, Pseudomonadati, Pseudomonadota, Gammaproteobacteria, Enterobacterales, Yersiniaceae. The record is from Rfam.